UGUUCUCCAUCUUCUUCUUCUCU
This 23-nucleotide small RNA is filed under the name Arabidopsis thaliana (thale cress). Its description in RNAcentral is "ATSL051550". Lineage: Eukaryota; Viridiplantae; Streptophyta; Magnoliopsida; Brassicales; Brassicaceae. The record is from RNAcentral.